Molecule: ribosomal RNA, 253 nt
Filed under: uncultured bacterium
Lineage: Bacteria
Description: partial 16S ribosomal RNA
Rfam family: Bacterial small subunit ribosomal RNA
Source: RNAcentral
UACGAAGGGGGCUAGCGUUGCUCGGAAUUACUGGGGCGUAAAGGGCGCGUAGGCGGCACUGUUAGUCAGGCGUGAAAAGUCCUGGGCUCAACCUGGGAACUGCGCUUGAUACGGCAGAGCUAGAGGAUGGAAGAGGCUCGCGGAAUUCCCAGUGUAGAGGUGAAAUUCGUAGAUAUUGGGAAGAACACCGGUGGCGAAGGCGGCGAGCUGGUCCAUUACUGACGCUGAGGCGCGACAGCGUGGGGGAGCAAAC